AAGUCGUAACAAGGUUUCCGUAGGUGAACCUGCGGAAGGAUCAUUACCGAGUUAGGGUCUUAUAGGCCCGAUCUCCAACCCUUUGUUUACUAUACCAUGUUGCUUUGGUGGGCCCGCCUUUCGGGGCCGCCGGGGGCUUAUACCCCUGGCCAGUGCUCGCCAGUAGCCUUAUUAAAUUCUUUCAUAAUUAUGUUGUCUGAGUAUAAAAUAUAAAUCGUUUAAAACUUUCAACAACGGAUCUCUUGGUUCUGGCAUCGAUGAAGAACGCAGCGAAAUGUGAUAAGUAAUGCGAAUUGCAGAAUUCAGUGAGUCAUCGAAUCUUUGAACGCAUAUUGCGCCCUUUGGUAUUCCGAAGGGCAUGCCUGUUCGAGCGUCAUUAUCAACCAUCAAGCCUGGCUUGUCGUUGGACCCCUUGCUGCUGAAAUAUACGGCAGGUCCGAAAGAUAAUGACGGCGUCGUGUUUGACCCUAGAUGCAACGAGCUUUUUCAUAGCACGCAUUGAAGUGGUCGGCCGACCCGGUCUUUAACCAUCAUUUUCUAAGGUUGACCUCGGAUCAGGUAGGAAUACCCGCUGAACUUAAGCAUAUCAAUAAGCGGAGGAAAAGAAACCAACAGGGAUUACCCUAGUAACGGCGAGUGAAGCGGUAAUAGCUCAAAUUUGAAAUCUGACCUUCACGGGUCCGAGUUGUAAUUUGUAGAGGAAGUUUCGGAUAAGGCUGUGGUUUAAGUGUCUUGGAACAGAACGUCAUAGAGGGUGAGAGUCCCGUCUAGAGCCGAUAGCCGCGUCCAUGUGAAACCCCUUCGACGAGUCGAGUUGUUUGGGAAUGCAGCUCAAAAUGGGUGGUAAAUUUCAUCUAAAGCUAAAUAUUGGCCAGAGACCGAUAGCGCACAAGUAGAGUGAUCGAAAGAUGAAAAGCACUUUGAAAAGAGAGUUAAACAGUAUGUGAAAUUGUUGAAAGGGAAGCGCUUGCAACCAGACUUGUGUUUAACGGUUCCCCCGGUCUUCUGACCGGGCUACUCCGUUAUAUCUAGGCCAGCAUCGGUUCGGGUGGUCGGUGAAAGACUCUGGCAAUGUAUCUACCUUCGGGUCGACUUAUAGGUCAGGGUGUAAUGCGUCCUACCUGGACCGAGGAACGCGCUUUUGCUCGGAUGCUGGCGUAAUGGUUGUAAGCGGCC
Molecule: ribosomal RNA, 1176 nt
Filed under: uncultured fungus
Lineage: Eukaryota; Fungi
Description: eukaryotic LSU rRNA
Rfam family: Eukaryotic large subunit ribosomal RNA (bases 545-1176)
Source: RNAcentral